This 251-nucleotide ribosomal RNA is filed under the name uncultured bacterium. RNAcentral's name for it is "partial 16S ribosomal RNA". It matches the Rfam family "Bacterial small subunit ribosomal RNA", at positions 525 to 775 of the family's 1533-position model. The record is from RNAcentral.
ACGUAGGGGGCAAGCGUUAUCCGGAUUUACUGGGUGUAAAGGGAGCGUAGACGGUGAGGCAAGUCUGAUGUGAAAACCCGGGGCUCAACCCCGUGACUGCAUUGGAAACUGUUUUGCUUGAGUGCCGGAGAGGUAAGCGGAAUUCCUAGUGUAGCGGUGAAAUGCGUAGAUAUUAGGAGGAACACCAGUGGCGAAGGCGGCUUACUGGACGGCAACUGACGUUGAGGCUCGAAAGCGUGGGGAGCAAACAG